UUUGGGACGUACAGACAGACAAGGGUAAAACUUAAUGCCCCCUCCGCUACGGCGGGGGCAUAAAAAUAAGAUUAUCAUCAAUUUAAUUGGAAGUUGUGAACAUAAUGAUAAAUUCUGAUUAAGAAAAUAACAUUUUCAAAAUCAAAAUAUAAAUAAUAAAAGCUGCCAGCUUAUAUUUUAACAUUAUGUCUUACUUAAGAUAAUGAAUUUUCAGUAUCUGAAAUGAUUAUAUAAAACCAUUUAUCUGAUUUUUGUCUAUUUUGAUUUUACAACUGUAAACCAACUAUUUUAUGUGAGCUUAUUAUUCAUACACUUUGGAAGAAAAAAAAUAAUGCAAGUAUAAAUAGUCACAAAUUUGUCCAAUUUGGAUCAUCUUGAUCUUACUUAAUUAGAAAAUUGUGAAAAAAAAUUGCUGCAAAGUCGUCCAUAAGUGAUAAACAUGUAAAGAAGUCUUCCAAAAAAAUAAUUGGGUAUACAGUUUUAUUCAAUUUAUGAAUAUGAAACAGGAACAUUUGACUACAAAUUCAAAGAUAUCAAUCAUUGAAUUAAAAUUCUUUGUUAACUAUCAUCAAACAUUACAACUUAUAGAUAUAGCGGGUAAUACAUAUAGUAAAACAAUUAUUUGAUUGUAAAGCAUAUUAUAUCAUGAAAUCUUCUAAAACACUUCAUUUCUGAAUCAGAAACAGUCAUUUUUAAGUUUCAAUGUCCAAAGAUAUAUAUUUCCCAAACUACACAUUUCUGUAACAUUAGAUGAAGUUUUUCAAAUAAAAAAUAAAAUAUGUAUCAUAUAAAGUAAAAUAAAAAGUUUGAUUUUCAUACAUGGAUUUCUGAUUGUAAAUUGUUUAAGAUUUGUAAACGUCUUUUAUUAAAUAGAAAUAAAAGAAAAUAACAUAAAUAUGAUGAAUUACAAAGGUAAUAAUAAAUACAUUUCUAUCUUCUAUUGUCAUGGAGAUGUAAAAGGCAAGUUAUAUGCAAUAAUUGUGGAAUGUCCAGAUAAAAAAAUUGGAAAAUUACACUAUUACUGUAAAGUUAAAAAGAUAAAAAAAACAAAAUAUUACAUUACAAUAUCAUAAUAGUUACAAAAAUGAAUCUGUAUUACAUAACACUAUCCUAAGGUUGUUCUUCCUUGUUUAAAC
Molecule: long non-coding RNA, 1136 nt
Organism: Mytilus californianus (California mussel)
Lineage: Eukaryota; Metazoa; Mollusca; Bivalvia; Mytilida; Mytilidae
Exons: 2
Source: RefSeq, a predicted model, not a curated record